This 2454-nucleotide long non-coding RNA is filed under the name Musa acuminata (dwarf banana). Its description in RNAcentral is "long non-coding RNA (MACU_LNC004262)". The record is from RNAcentral. Lineage: Eukaryota; Viridiplantae; Streptophyta; Magnoliopsida; Zingiberales; Musaceae.
AACCGACCGUUCGAACCAACGCCUCGGCAACAAGCAGGAAAAGAAUAUAAGGAGGGAACAGUGUGUGACUGGUGGCGGAUCAUUUUACCAAAUACCCAGAAAUCAGAUCAGCGUACGACGUGGUGAAGGGAGACGGACGGGGGCAGUUGGGUGGGCUCCACCAUUCAAUGCACUGACUCUAACGAUAUACGAAUCUCCAUUUCCCCAAUUCUCUCUUCUCUGGCGGGGCCAAGAAUUGACCAUCCUUCCUGGUAGGUUUUCGCAUGGAGGGCUGGAGGGGGCUGAUGUGAAAAUCCCUUCGACUUGAGGUAAACUCUCCAUCCUGCUUCGAAUCAUCGCUACUUCUUCGUCCGAUCUAUCUUCUUCUUUCACAUCAAUGGUCGAUGUUUUCAGGAAUCUUGUCGGGAGGGGAUGUCCCUUUUGCUAACGAUACCUUCUCCAACUGUGUCCUCCCUUCCAUUCUAAUCUUCUUUGGGUAUCAUAUCGUGGAGGAGUUCAAUGAUUCUAAAGAAAAGUUCCUUUUGUCUCUCUGCGACUGUGUAUCUAAUUACAUCGCCGUAUAUCUCUGCUUACUCCUUUUGGAUUAACGAUGCUAUCCGUUGUACUCUUUUUGUUUCUCCACAUCCUAUCUGGAAAUCAUACAGGUUGAGACCUAAAUGAUUUUGAAAACACGACCAUCUAUCCAGUGGUGCUUUGUGUUCUUCAGUUUUUUACAUGUCUUCUCAAAAUUCAUAGUUCAAUAUUUGUUGAUCACUCACUCGAGUCUUGAUCGAGUUGGUCUUGGAGACGACCAUUUGUUAUGGAUCAUAUUCUUCUUCUUGCAAUACGUUGGCCGAAUUCGUUAAGGCUGUUAAUGUAUCCUAUUUGCUGAGCCGACAAUAUGAAUGGUCGUCACUUGAUUAUGUUAGUAUGGGAAAUAUAAUUUGUGUAAGAUAGAUGAUAUUGUAUGUGUUAGGACCGGAGCGGCACUAAGAGAGGGGGUGGGGGGGGGUGAAUUAGUGCAACGGUAAAAUAUGAUAAACUUUCGACGAUUUAAACACUUUCGGAAACUUCGUACGAUAAAAGCAACGUUUCGUUUGAAACCGUUUCGAUUACGUUUUAACUUGAAGGUAGUAAGCUAUUGAAGGGAUUUGUAAUAAGGUAAUAGCAGGAAGUAAAUGCAAACCAGAGAAGACGGUAGUUUAUAGUGGUUCGGUCAAUCGUGACCUACAUCCACUCCUCCGAUUCCUUUUCCAUCGAGACCACCGACAUCCACUAAUGAUCUUCCUUUACUAGGCGAAGAUCGACCUUCUUCUUACACCCCUCUUACAACCUCUUACAAGUGGUUCACCCUUUUACAAAGAUUUCAAUGAAAAGAAAGGAGGUGAACACUCAAGCUAUUGAAAACAAGACUUUUCCUAAAGCUUUUCUCAACUUUUAGCUUCUCAAUAGGUUGUCUUCUCUGCUGAGAAAUGGGGGGUAUUUAUAAGCCUCAAGAGGAUUCAAAUUUGGGCUCCAAAUUUUAAAUUCUCUUGGGUUUCCGAGGCCGGCGGUGCCACCGCCUGUCAGUGUCUGACACUAACAGUGGACUGGCGGUGCCACCGCCCAGUCAAGCGGUGCCACCGCCCAGGUCUCUUCAGCUCACUGGUUGGGCUCCAAACUUGGCCCAAACCAGUCCGAACUUGGGCCAAAUUGGCCCCUACUUGGGUUAUAACUACGAAUUUAAAGAUAUUUUCUAAGCUAUUACAAAGUCCUUAAGUCAAGACUUCUACGAUAGUUUUACUUAGAUAUGUGUCUCUUCUACAAUAGUUGCAAGGUGCUAAGAUGCUGCAGCAUACGAGAAUAGUCCAAAACCAGACAUGGUUUGGCUGCAGAAUGGUGCAAUAGUGAGUGAGGCUCCUUCCUUCCUCCCAACAAGUGACGAGGGAGUGUUUUAGGCUCAACAUAUUAGUCAUGUUUUAUCAACACCCAUCGCCUCUAUCAUGGAAUCAUCAUCUAGACUCAACAUAUUAGUCAACCUGCCAUUUAGUGAAUCAAGCAAACAUGAGUAACAUAAGCAGAAUCUAAAAACUAACUCUUCUCGAAAGAUGUAUCAUUACCUUUAAAGAUUGUGAAGGAUAUCUUCAUCACCAUCCAUCACAAGAGAGAACUCAUCAAUCUCUUCUUCCUUUUUUUUUUUUUUUUUUUUCUCAGAUAAUUUUGUUAUAUAUAUAUUUAUAUAUAUAUAUAUAUAUAUAUAUAUAUAUAUAUAUAUAUAUAUAUAUANNNNNNNNNNNNNNNNNNNNAAAAAGACUUAGACUUUUGACCUUGGCCUACCAUGUUGAGAUCUACCCCUAUCAAAUUAUCCUCUUCGUCAAUCUCCAUUGUGAGUUGUUAAUGUUUCAUCAUCUAUAUUCUCUUAAUUACAAAAUCUUGAAUUAUUCCCACUUGACUUCUUUACAUACCUUUUUAAAUAAAUUUUGAAGAAUUCAUAUC